RNAcentral lists this ribosomal RNA (253 nucleotides) under uncultured bacterium. Its description in RNAcentral is "partial 16S ribosomal RNA". It matches the Rfam family "Bacterial small subunit ribosomal RNA", at positions 524 to 776 of the family's 1533-position model. The record is from RNAcentral.
UACGUAGGGGCCGAGCGUUGUCCGGAGUUAUUGGGCGUAAAGCGCGCGCAGGCGGCUUCGCGCGCCCGCCGUGAAAGCCCCCGGCUUAACCGGGGAGAGUCGGUGGGGACGGCGGAGCUUGAGGGCGGGAGAGGUCGGUGGAAUUCCCGGUGUAGUGGUGAAAUGCGUAGAGAUCGGGAGGAACACCUGUGGCGAAGGCGGCCGACUGGGCCGACCCUGACGCUGAGGCGCGAAGGCGUGGGGAGCGAACGGG